Molecule: ribosomal RNA, 601 nt
Filed under: Synechocystis salina LEGE 00030
Lineage: Bacteria; Bacillati; Cyanobacteriota; Cyanophyceae; Synechococcales; Merismopediaceae
Description: bacterial SSU rRNA
Rfam family: Bacterial small subunit ribosomal RNA
Source: RNAcentral
UAACGCGUGAGAACCUACCUUCAGAAUGGGGACAACAGUUGGAAACGACUGCUAAUACCCAAUGUGCCGAAAGGUGAAAGAUUUAUCGUCUGAAGAUGGGCUCGCGUCUGAUUAGCUAGAUGGUGGGGUAAGAGCCUACCAUGGCAACGAUCAGUAGCUGGUCUGAGAGGAUGAGCAGCCACACUGGGACUGAGACACGGCCCAGACUCCUACGGGAGGCAGCAGUGGGGAAUUUUCCGCAAUGGGCGAAAGCCUGACGGAGCAAUACCGCGUGAGGGAGGAAGGUCCUUGGAUUGUAAACCUCUUUUAUCAGGGAAGAAGUUCUGACGGUACCUGAUGAAUAAGCAUCGGCUAACUCCGUGCCAGCAGCCGCGGUAAUACGGAGGAUGCAAGCGUUAUCCGGAAUUAUUGGGCGUAAAGCGUCCGUAGGUGGUUAUGCAAGUCUGCCGUUAAAGAAUGGAGCUUAACUCCAUAGGAGCGGUGGAAACUGCAAGACUAGAGUACAGUAGGGGUAGCAGGAAUUCCCAGUGUAGCGGUGAAAUGCGUAGAUAUUGGGAAGAACAUCGGUGGCGAAAGCGUGCUACCUGGGCUGAAACUGACA